UACGGAGGGUGCAAGCGUUAGUCGGAAUUACUGGGCGUAAAGGGUGCGUAGGCGGCGCGGUAAGUCGGGUGUGAAAUCUUGGAGCUUAACUCCGAAACUGCAUUCGAUACUGCCGUGCUUGAGGACUGGAGAGGAGACUGGAAUUUACGGUGUAGCGGUGAAAUGCGUAGAUAUCGUAAGGAAGACCAGUGGCGAAGGCGGGUCUCUGGACAGUUCCUGACGCUGAGGCACGAAGGCCAGGGGAGCAAACGGG
Molecule: ribosomal RNA, 253 nt
Filed under: uncultured bacterium
Lineage: Bacteria
Description: partial 16S ribosomal RNA
Rfam family: Bacterial small subunit ribosomal RNA
Source: RNAcentral